This 619-nucleotide ribosomal RNA is filed under the name Leucosporidium fragarium. RNAcentral describes it as "eukaryotic LSU rRNA". It matches the Rfam family "Eukaryotic large subunit ribosomal RNA", at positions 47 to 663 of the family's 3401-position model. Lineage: Eukaryota; Fungi; Basidiomycota; Microbotryomycetes; Leucosporidiales; Leucosporidiaceae. The record is from RNAcentral.
UAAGCGGAGGAAAAGAAACUAACAAGGAUUCCCCUAGUAACGGCGAGUGAAGCGGGAAGAGCUCAAAUUUGUAAUCUGGCACUUUCAGUGUCCGAGUUGUAAUCUCGAGAAGUAUUUUCCGCGCCGGACCGCAUACAAGUCUGUUGGAAUACAGCGUCAUAGUGGUGAGAACCCCGUAACUGAUGCGGAUGCCCGGUGCUUUGUGAUAUACUUUCGAAGAGUCGAGUUGUUUGGGAAUGCAGCUCAAAUUGGGUGGUAAAUUCCAUCUAAAGCUAAAUAUUGGAGCAAGACCGAUAGCGAACAAGUACCGUGAGGGAAAGAUGAAAAGCACUUUGGAAAGAGAGUUAACAGUACGUGAAAUUGUUGGAAGGGAAACGCUUGAAGUCAGACUUGCUAUUCGGAGUUCAGCCGCAAGGUGUAUUCUUCGAUUCGCAGGCCAGCAUCAGUUUUCGGGGGUGGAAAAUCGCGGUUUGAAGGUAGCAACUUCGGUUGUGUUAUAGCUUUCCGCUGGAUUCAUCCUUGGGGACUGAGGAACGCAGUACGCUUUUUGCAAGGCUCUCGAGCUUUUCGUACUUAGGAUGCUGGUGGAAUGGCUUUAAACGACCCGUCUUGAAACACG